AAUUCAAUUUGACUUGAUCCAAAAAUAAUUACUCAAUCAAAUUGAGUUAAUUAGUGAUCAAAUCACUAACUGAACCUCUCAUAAAUACUGAGUCCAAAUCUGAUGGGCAAUCGGGCAUCAGAGUCCAUCGAUAUGAAACCCUGAUCGAAGAGUCCCAAACCAAUGGGACUCUUGACCCCGGUACCCAAAAUGUGUGAAACUCGUGAUCAGAGAAUCCUAAUUCUCGAUCAUAAAGUCUCAGACACAUAGGACUUAGAGUCCUCGAGCAUUAGGACUCUUGGUCGAAGAGUCUCAGUCCAGUGGGACUCUUCACCAGCCAUCAGAUCAGAUAGGAACCUCUAAUGUGUGUGACCCCACAGGUUCGAACCUA
Molecule: long non-coding RNA, 370 nt
Filed under: Elaeis guineensis (African oil palm)
Lineage: Eukaryota; Viridiplantae; Streptophyta; Magnoliopsida; Arecales; Arecaceae
Description: long non-coding RNA (EGUI_LNC069165)
Source: RNAcentral